UCCGUAGGCGGGCAAUUAAGUCGGAGGUGAAAUCCCACAGCUCAACUGUGGAACUGCCUUUGAUACUGGUUGUCUUGAGUUACAGUGAAGUAGAUAGAAUAUGUAGUGUAGCGGUGAAAUGCAUAGAUAUUACAUAGAAUACCGAUUGCGAAGGCAGUCUACUAACUGUAUACUGACGCUAAUGGACGAAAGCGUGGGGAGCGAACAGGAUUAGAUACCCUGGAGUCC
This 228-nucleotide ribosomal RNA is filed under the name uncultured bacterium. RNAcentral describes it as "partial 16S ribosomal RNA". It matches the Rfam family "Bacterial small subunit ribosomal RNA", at positions 568 to 796 of the family's 1533-position model. The record is from RNAcentral.